This 391-nucleotide ribosomal RNA is filed under the name uncultured bacterium. Its description in RNAcentral is "bacterial SSU rRNA". It matches the Rfam family "Bacterial small subunit ribosomal RNA", at positions 28 to 419 of the family's 1533-position model. The record is from RNAcentral.
GACGAACGCUGGCGGCGUGCUUAACACAUGCAAGUCGAGCGGUAAGGCCCUUUCGGGGGUACACGAGCGGCGAACGGGUGAGUAACACGUGGGUGACCUGCCCUUAGCUCUGGGAUAAGCCUGGGAAACUGGGUCUAAUACCGGAUAUGACUCCAUGACGCAUGUUGUGGGGUGGAAAGCCUUGUGCGGCUAGGGAUGGGCCCGCGGCCUAUCAGCUUGUUGGUGGGGUGAUGGCCUACCAAGGCGACGACGGGUAGCCGGCCUGAGAGGGCGACCGGCCACACUGGGACUGAGACACGGCCCAGACUCCUACGGGAGGCAGCAGUGGGGAAGUCUUGCGCAAUGGGCGAAAGCCUGACGCAGCGACGCCGCGUGAGGGAUGACGGCCUGG